Non-coding RNA from Malus domestica (apple), 1506 nucleotides. Lineage: Eukaryota; Viridiplantae; Streptophyta; Magnoliopsida; Rosales; Rosaceae. The record is from RefSeq and is a predicted model, not a curated record.
UAAUUCAUCUGUGUCUCUUGAUUCAAUCUUUGACUCCUGAUACAUUGUUUAGGUGGCUUUUAACCUCCUGCAUAGAGCUACUUGAUAUUGUAUCUGUCAAUCUAUGCGAGGUCCAAGGUUUAUCUUUCUAUUUACUAAUUUAUCUUUGGGGGGAAUUUUGUCAUAAUGAGUUAGAUAGAGGCGUUCUUAGGGCUUAUUUAGCAUUAUAAUCAAUUAAUAAAUGGAUCAUAUGGAUCAUUAUUGUUCCAUAAAGUAGUUAAUUGGUUAUCAAUAUCAUCUGUAAGGAGUGAUGUCUGGAUUAAGCUUACAGCUCUGUUCCUUUGUUUGGAAAUUUUGUAUGGGUUGGAUGUAAGCAUGAAUCCUGGAUUGUAAGAUUAUGGUGCCCUUUAACUGAAGCUUGUCAUGUAUUUGAUUGAAAUAAUAUGAAAUAAGCACAACUAGUUGCUGAUGGUGAUCCAAUGUAGUUUUUGGGACCUAAUGAGACACUGCUCUAGAUAUCUGAAACAUCAGUACUAAAAAUGAAACAUGAUUGAGAAAGUCUUAGAAAAACAUCCUACCUUUAUAUAUAGGUUUUGCAAAAGGGGUAUGGAUGAUGGGCGUGAUUGAUGAGAUUCGAAUGCCUGUUACAGAAACAAACCGAAACCCAAUAUUAGUUGACACAAGGACUCGUGUGAAAGAUACACUUACUGUUGAACCACAACGAAGAAAUGGAAGGCUUCAAUUAAUGUGCUACAAGUACAUUUGGGAUGAUUUAGUUGCUGAUAAAUUCCCAUCAAAGAAAUUUUUCACUUUUUUUCCUUAAAUCCUCAUGGUAUCUUAUAUGAAGAAAUCAGAGAGAUGGCUGCUAACUCAAGGUUCCCAGCAGAGACCCUUGAUGACAUAGUGAGAUACUACAAAAACACAUGUAGCAUGCUGCCCUCUACACAUGACCAGCUGCUAUUGAGAUAUGAGUUACAGAAAGAUCAUUCGUUACUUGGUGAAGAUGAGUUUGCAUACGACUAUGAUUGGGUCAAGAAUCAAAUACAGGGUUGUCUUGAGUUCUGGUUAGGAGAGCGAGAAACAAGUUACACUCCUAAGGAUGAGGGAUGGAAAUGCAAGUUCUGUCAAUAUUCUUCUGUUUGCCCCACUAGACGUGCAAAGUCUGCAAACUAUACUAAUACACCAAGUUAGAGAAAAGCAGUAGCAUUGGUGAUGUUUCAAUCAACAUCGUCAGUAAGUGUACAAAGAAGCACAAUUCUUGGAGUUGCUUCUUUGGGGUAAUUGCUGUGUUGGUUGUGCCAUGAAUGUAUCGUUCAUGUUGUAUCGUAGUCGUUGUUUGAUUCAAUUGUUGUAACUUAAUUCUUUGGAUGAAAUCAUUAAACAGGAGUUGUAAAAUUCAAUUGUUUUGUAUUGAAAGCUACGCUCAAAGUGCAAAGGAUGUCUCUCUAUCAAAUUUAGCAAAGUCAGAUAGUGAUGUUACAAUUGUAUGUUAACAUUAGGAUGAAUGAAUAUGGUAUUAUUCAUGGA